GCAUCAUGAUUUACAUUUGAGUGAGUGGCGAACUGGUGAGUAACACGUGGGAAACCUGCCCAGAAGCGGGGGAUAACACCUGGAAACAGAUGCUAAUACCGCAUAACAACUUGGACCGCAUGGUCCGAGUUUGAAAGAUGGCUUCGGCUAUCACUUUUGGAUGGUCCCGCGGCGUAUUAGCUAGAUGGUGGGGUAACGGCUCACCAUGGCAAUGAUACGUAGCCGACCUGAGAGGGUAAUCGGCCACAUUGGGACUGAGACACGGCCCAAACUCCUACGGGAGGCAGCAGUAGGGAAUCUUCCACAAUGGACGAAAGUCUGAUGGAGCAACGCCGCGUGAGUGAAGAAGGGUUUCGGCUCGUAAAACUCUGUUGUUAAAGAAGAACAUAUCUGAGAGUAACUGUUCAGGUAUUGACGGUAUUUAACCAGAAAGCCACGGCUAACUACGUGCCAGCAGCCGCGGUAAUACGUAGGUGGCAAGCGUUGUCCGGAUUUAUUGGGCGUAAAGCGAGCGCAGGCGGUUUUUUAAGUCUGAUGUGAAAGCCUUCGGCUCAACCGAAGAAGUGCAUCGGAAACUGGGAAACUUGAGUGCAGAAGAGGACAGUGGAACUCCAUGUGUAGCGGUGAAAUGCGUAGAUAUAUGGAAGAACACCAGUGGCGAAGGCGGCUGUCUGGUCUGUAACUGACGCUGAGGCUCGAAAGUAUGGGUAGCAAACAGGAUUAGAUACCCUGGUAGUCCAUACCGUAAACGAUGAAUGCUAAGUGUUGGAGGGUUUCCGCCCUUCAGUGCUGCAGCUAACGCAUUAAGCAUUCCGCCUGGGGAGUACGGCCGCAAGGCUGAAACUCAAAGGAAUUGACGGGGGCCCGCACAAGCGGUGGAGCAUGUGGUUUAAUUCGAAGCUACGCGAAGAACCUUACCAGGUCUUGACAUACUAUGCAAAUCUAAGAGAUUAGACGUUCCCUUCGGGGACAUGGAUACAGGUGGUGCAUGGUUGUCGUCAGCUCGUGUCGUGAGAUGUUGGGUUAAGUCCCGCAACGAGCGCAACCCUUAUUAUCAGUUGCCAGCAUUAAGUUGGGCACUCUGGUGAGACUGCCGGUGACAAACCGGAGGAAGGUGGGGAUGACGUCAAAUCAUCAUGCCCCUUAUGACCUGGGCUACACACGUGCUACAAUGGAUGGUACAACGAGUUGCGAACUCGCGAGAGUAAGCUAAUCUCUUAAAGCCAUUCUCAGUUCGGAUUGUAGGCUGCAACUCGCCUACAUGAAGUCGGAAUCGCUAGUAAUCGCGGAUCAGCAUGCCGCGGUGAAUACGUUCCCGGGCCUUGUACACACCGCCCGUCACACCAUGAGAGUUUGUAACA
RNAcentral lists this ribosomal RNA (1361 nucleotides) under Lactiplantibacillus plantarum. RNAcentral's name for it is "bacterial SSU rRNA". It matches the Rfam family "Bacterial small subunit ribosomal RNA", at positions 69 to 1419 of the family's 1533-position model. Lineage: Bacteria; Bacillati; Bacillota; Bacilli; Lactobacillales; Lactobacillaceae. The record is from RNAcentral.